CACGUAGUUAGCCGGUGCUUCUUCUGCAGGUACCGUCACUUACGCUUCGUCCCUGCUGAAAGAGGUUUACAACCCGAAGGCCGUCAUCCCUCAUGCGGCGUCGCUGCAUCAGGCUUCCGCCCAUUGUGCAAUAUUCCCCACUGCUGCCUCCCGUAGGAGUCUGGGCCGUAUCUCAGUCCCAAUGUGGCCGAUCACCCUCUCAGGCCGGCUACCCGUCGUCGCCUUGGUAGGCCAUCACCCCACCAACAAGCUGAUAGGCCGCGGGCUCAUCCUACACCGAAAAACUUUCCACCAAACCCCAUAAGGAGAAAGGUCAUAUCCAGUAUUAGACCCAGUUUCCCAGGCUUAUCCCAGAGUGCAGGGCAGAUUACCCACGUGUUACUCACCCGUUCGCCACUCGAGUACUCCAGCAAGCUGGAGCCUUUCCGUUCGACUUGCAUGUGUUAAGCACGCCGCCAGCGUUCGUCCUGAGCCAGGAUCAAACUCUA
RNAcentral lists this ribosomal RNA (488 nucleotides) under uncultured Actinomycetales bacterium. RNAcentral describes it as "partial 16S ribosomal RNA". Lineage: Bacteria; Bacillati; Actinomycetota; Actinomycetes; Actinomycetales. The record is from RNAcentral.